GACGAACCGUGCGAACGUUGUUCGGAUUCACUGGGCUUAAAGGGCGCGUAGGCGGCUUGCCAAGUCAGGGGUGAAAUCUUUCGGCUCAACCGGAAAACAGCCCCUGAUACUGGCGAGCUGGAGGGAGGUAGGGGCGGAUGGAACUUCCGGUGGAGCGGUGAAAUGCGUAGAUAUCGGAAGGAACGCCGGUGGCGAAAGCGAUCCGCUGGACCUCUUCUGACGCUGAGGCGCGAAAGCCAGGGGAGCAAACGGG
This 253-nucleotide ribosomal RNA is filed under the name uncultured bacterium. RNAcentral describes it as "partial 16S ribosomal RNA". It matches the Rfam family "Bacterial small subunit ribosomal RNA", at positions 524 to 776 of the family's 1533-position model. The record is from RNAcentral.